UGCUGAUGCUCGUCUGUAUGUGCUGC
Molecule: non-coding RNA, 26 nt
Filed under: Rattus norvegicus (Norway rat)
Lineage: Eukaryota; Metazoa; Chordata; Mammalia; Rodentia; Muridae
Source: RNAcentral